RNAcentral lists this ribosomal RNA (253 nucleotides) under uncultured bacterium. RNAcentral describes it as "partial 16S ribosomal RNA". It matches the Rfam family "Bacterial small subunit ribosomal RNA", at positions 524 to 776 of the family's 1533-position model. The record is from RNAcentral.
UACGUAGGGGGCUAGCGUUGUCCGGAUUUAUUGGGCGUAAAGAGCGUGUAGGCGGCCAGACAGGUCCGUUGUGAAAACUAGAGGCUUAACCUCUAGACGUCGAUGGAAACCGUCUGGCUAGAGUCCGGAAGAGGAGAAUGGAAUUCCUGGUGUAGCGGUGAAAUGCGCAGAUAUCAGGAAGAACACCCGUGGCUAAGGCGGUUCUCUAGUACGGUACUGACGCUGAGACGCGAAAGCGUGGGGAGCGAACAGG